RNAcentral lists this ribosomal RNA (459 nucleotides) under uncultured bacterium. RNAcentral's name for it is "bacterial SSU rRNA". It matches the Rfam family "Bacterial small subunit ribosomal RNA", at positions 29 to 507 of the family's 1533-position model. The record is from RNAcentral.
AUUGAACGCUGGCGGUAGGCCUAACACAUGCAAGUCGAACGCGAAAGUCCUUCGGGAUGAGUAGAGUGGCGGACGGGUGAGUAACGCGUAGGAAUCUAUCCUGUAGUGGGGGAUAACGUUUCGAAAGGAACGCUAAUACCGCAUACGCCCCAAGGGGGAAAGCGGGGGAUCUUCGGACCUCGUGCUAUAGGAGGAGCCUGCGUCGGAUUAGCUAGUUGGUGAGGUAAAGGCUCACCAAGGCGACGAUCAGUAGCCGGCCUGAGAGGGUGACCGGCCACACUGGAACUGAGACACGGUCCAGACUCCUACGGGAGGCAGCAGUGGGGAAUAUUGCACAAUGGGGGAAACCCUGAUGCAGCGACGCCGCGUGAGUGAAGAAGGUCUUCGGAUCGUAAAACUCUGUCCUUGGUGACGAAGGAAGUGACGGUAACCAAGGAGGAAGCCCCGGCUAACUACGUG